RNAcentral lists this unclassified non-coding RNA (229 nucleotides) under plant metagenome. RNAcentral describes it as "partial contains small subunit ribosomal RNA, internal transcribed spacer 1, and 5.8S ribosomal RNA". The record is from RNAcentral.
UCUCCGUAGGUGAACCUGCGGAGGGAUCAUUACAGAGUUCUCGCCCUCGCGGGUAGAUCUCCCACCCACUGAUAUCGUUACUGUGUUGCUUUGGCGGGCCGCCGGGCCCCGCUCGGCCGCCGGCUCCGGCUGGCGCGCGCCCGCCAGAGGCCCAGCAAACUCUGAAUGUUAGUGUCGUCUGAGUACUAUAUAAUAGUUAAAACUUUCAACAACGGAUCUCUUGGUUCUG